Molecule: transfer RNA, 67 nt
Filed under: Marmota monax (woodchuck)
Lineage: Eukaryota; Metazoa; Chordata; Mammalia; Rodentia; Sciuridae
Description: tRNA.Ala
Rfam family: tRNA
About the family: Transfer RNA (tRNA) molecules are approximately 80 nucleotides in length. Their secondary structure includes four short double-helical elements and three loops (D, anti-codon, and T loops). Further hydrogen bonds mediate the characteristic L-shaped molecular structure. tRNAs have two regions of fundamental functional importance: the anti-codon, which is responsible for specific mRNA codon recognition, and the 3' end, to which the tRNAs corresponding amino acid is attached (by aminoacyl-tRNA synthetases). tRNAs cope with the degeneracy of the genetic code in two manners: having more than one tRNA (with a specific anti-codon) for a particular amino acid; and 'wobble' base-pairing, i.e. permitting non-standard base-pairing at the 3rd anti-codon position.
Source: RNAcentral
GGUUGUGGCUCAGUGGUAGAGUGCUUGCCUAGCAUGUGUGAGGCACUGGGUUUAAUCCCCAGCACCA